AAUAAAUUUGAACGAAAGGGAAUACGGUUCCAAUUCCGUACCUGUUGAGUAUCCGUUUGUUAUUAAAUAUGGGCCUCGUGCUCAUCCUGGCAACAGGAACGACCAUAAAGAAGCCGUCGAGAGAUAUCGGAAGAGUUUUCUUUUCUGUUUUAUAGCCGUACUACCAUGGAAGUCUUUCGCAGAGAGAUAUGGUAGAUGGGCUAGAAGAGCAUGACAUAUACUGUUGUGUCGAUAUUUUCUCCUCGGACCUUGAAAAUUUAUGGUGGGGACACGCAAACUUCUCAACAGGCCGUACCAAUAUCCGCAGCUGGUCUCCAAGGUGAAGAGUCUCUAGUCGAUAGAAUAAUGUAGGUAAGGGAAGUCGGCAAAUUAGAUCCGUAACUUCGGGAUAAGGAUUGGCUCUGAAGAUUGAGAUAGUCGGGCUUGAUUGGGAAACAAUAACAUGGUUUAUGUGCUCGUUCUGGGUAAAUAGAGUUUCUAGCAUUUAUGUUAGUUACUUGUUCCCCGGAUAGUUUAGUUACGUAGCCAAUUGUGGAACUUUCUUGCUAAAAUUUUUAAGAAUACUAUUUGGGUUAAACCAAUUAGUUCUUAUCAAUUAUAACGAUUAUCAAUUAACAAUCAAUUCAGAACUGGCACGGACUUGGGGAAUCCGACUGUCUAAUUAAAACAAAGCAUUGUGAUGGCCCUAGCGGGUGUUGACACAAUGUGAUUUCUGCCCAGUGCUCUGAAUGUCAAAGUGAAGAAAUUCAAGUAAGCGCGGGUCAACGGCGGGAGUAACUAUGACUCUCUUAAGGUAGCCAAAUGCCUCGUCAUCUACUUAGUGACGCGCAUGAAUGGAUUAACGAGAUUCCUACUGUCCCUAUCUACUAUCUAGCGAAACCACAGCCAACGGAACGGGCUUGGAAUAAUUAGCGGGGAAAGAAGACCCUUUUGAGCUUGACUCUAAUCUGGCAGUGUAAGGAGACAUAAGAGGUGUAGAAUAAGUGGGAGAUAUUAGACCUCGGUUUGGUAUCGUCAAUGAAAUACCACUACUCUUAUUGUUUCCUUACUUACUUGAUUAAAUGGAACGUGUAUCAUUUCCUAGCCAUUAUACGGAUAUAUUUAUUAUAUCUUAUGGUAUUGGGUUUUGAUGCAAGCUUCUUGAUCAAAGUAUCACGAGUUUGUUAUAUAAUCGCAAACAAAUUCUUUAAUAAAACGAUGCAUUUAUGUAUUUUUGAUUUGAAAAUUUGGUAUAACUCCAAUUACUCAGGUAUGAUCCAAUUCAAGGACAUUGCCAGGUAGGGAGUUUGACUGGGGCGGUACAUCUCUCAAAUAAUAACGGAGGUGUCCCAAGGCCAGCUCAGUGCGGACAGAAACCACACAUAGAGCAAAAGGGCAAAUGCUGACUUGAUCUCGGUGUUCAGUACACACAGGGACAGCAAAAGCUCGGCCUAUCGAUCCUUUUGGUUUAAAGAGUUUUUAACAAGAGGUGUCAGAAAAGUUACCAUAGGGAUAACUGGCUUGUGGCGGCCAAGCGUUCAUAGCGACGUCGCUUUUUGAUCCUUCGAUGUCGGCUCUUCCUAUCAUUGUGAAGCAAAAUUCACCAAGCGUUGGAUUGUUCACCCAUGCAAGGGAACGUGAGCUGGGUUUAGACCGUCGUGAGACAGGUUAGUUUUACCCUACUAUGACAAAACGUUGUUGCGACAGCAUUCCUGCGUAGUACGAGAGGAACCGCAGGUACGGACCAAUGGCACAAUACUUGUUCGAGCGAACAGUGGUAUGACGCUACGUCCGUUGGAUUAUGCCUGAACGCCUCUAAGGUCGUAUCCGUGCUGGACUGCAAUGAUAAAUAAGGGGCAAUUUGCAUUGUAUGGCUUCUAAACCAUUUAAAGUUUAUAAUUUAUUUUAUAAACGACAAUGGAUGUGAUGCCAAUGUAAUUUGUAACAUAGUAAAUUAGGAGGAUCUUCGAUCACCUGAUGCCGCGCUAGUUACAUAUAAAAGCAUUAUUUAAUACAAUGACAAAGCCUAGAAUCAAUUGUAAACGACUUUUGUAACAGGCAAGGUGUUGUAAGUGGUUGAGCAGCUGCCAUACUGCGAUCCACUGAAGCUUAUCCUUUGCUUGAUGAUUCGA
Molecule: ribosomal RNA, 2111 nt
Organism: Drosophila sechellia
Lineage: Eukaryota; Metazoa; Arthropoda; Insecta; Diptera; Drosophilidae
Rfam family: Eukaryotic large subunit ribosomal RNA
Source: Rfam